UCAUCCGGGGUUCUCUCCGGUGCACUUCGCCGCGUUCAGGCCAGCAUCAGUUCGUCGCGGGGGAAAAAGGCUUCGGGAACGUGGCUGCUCCGGGAGUGUUAUAGCCCGUUGCAUAAUACCCUGCGGUGGACUGAGGACCGCGCAUCUGCAAGGAUGCUGGCGUAAUGGUCACCAGCGAC
This 179-nucleotide ribosomal RNA is filed under the name Trichoderma sp. Its description in RNAcentral is "partial large subunit ribosomal RNA". The record is from RNAcentral. Lineage: Eukaryota; Fungi; Ascomycota; Sordariomycetes; Hypocreales; Hypocreaceae.